UGGUCAUAGACUUAUAGACUCGGCCUCUUAGGUCAUAUAGGACUACUCUUCAACUACUAAGACAGAUAGAUCUCCUAUAAAUGCACUCCUCUUCUUACAAUAAAUCUACUGCAGCCAACAUCUACUAUAAAAAUUUAUAUGGCUAGGGACUAUAUUUAUAUGUAGUCAAACUAUAGCAACUCCAUUAUGAGCAGCAGAGGCAUCGCAGGUCAAAGAACCACUCACACAACUCAGCAUCGAGAAGUCACUGAUGAGUGAGUAGGCAUCCAUAUAAUUUUUUGUUCUUGAUCAAGCUUAGUACCGUUGUUCUCUAACAACCAUCUAUACUCUCACUUCAGUGUCUCCAUACUGUAGACUCAUGACCCAUUUGUCCAAAAAGAAAGCGAUCUGUGCAUCAAUCUACUUGGAUCAAUCACCAUCCUGUGACUAUCAUCGAUUGAGAAUAUUUAAAAAUUAAUAUAUAAUGACACUUGUCUUAAAUUCUCAACUCAUGAGAAUAUGUGUCAUUGACCAUUAACUCCAUAGAUAAUUCUUAGACACAUUACUCUAGAAUGAAAAUAAUUAUCCAUAAUUUUAAUUUUAAUAAAUCAAGUACAAACUUAUGUCCUGAAAAAUUAUAAUGUAUCAGUCAACAAUUAGCCUUCCAGAUCACACAUCUAACAUAUAUAUCUAUACUUUCAAUAUUUGAAUUACAUCCAUAUCUGUUUAAAAUAAAUAUGAAUAUUAAUUUUUAUAUCUGAAUAAUAUCCAUAUCUGUAUUUGUAUUCAUCAGAAAAAAUAAAUAUGGAUAUGGAUAUGCUGGUAUCAGAUCCAUAUCCGAUUUGGUAUCAACACUAAAUUCAAUACACUUAAUAAAUUUCUUUUUUUAAUAGAGAAGAAUGUUUUGUAUAUCAUAUAUAAAAUAUUAAUCUUUAUUAUUUGAAUUGGCCUUAAUAUUUAUCUUGAUAGCAAUUUGACCAUCUAAAUAAUAUUAUUUUGUUUUGGUUGGAAGGAAACAAUGAAAAUGAAAAAUAAAUUUAGAAAUAAAAAUUUAUAAAAAACUUGCCAAGAUGAGUUUUCUAAUUAUUUCUAUCCAAAAAUUUAUAUAUGGUUAAUAAUUAAUAUUGCGCUCAUAUGGUUCUAGUGCUAUAGAGUCUACAAAGUUUAUUUAUUGGUCUCCUUCAAUUUUCUGUAUACAUGCACUUAUAAAAUGAGCUUUUGCCUUCCCACAUUUUUUAAACUACAAUUUUUAAAGCCAGUCCCAAACAUCCUUAAAUUUUUCAAAAUACUAUGUGGACAAAAAAGAUUAUUGUACCAUCUAUUAUAUAUCCUCUGUUUCUCUAAUGUUCCAUUUGUUUAUGUUUUCUAGAUGUUCCUACUUUUUCCAGAUGUUUCUACUUUUUCUCCAUAUCAAAUGAAGCACCUGAUCUCUCAAAACAUAUUUA
This 1424-nucleotide long non-coding RNA is filed under the name Elaeis guineensis (African oil palm). RNAcentral describes it as "long non-coding RNA (EGUI_LNC043598)". The record is from RNAcentral. Lineage: Eukaryota; Viridiplantae; Streptophyta; Magnoliopsida; Arecales; Arecaceae.